GAAGGUGGACAGCUUUUCUCUUCCACUAUGUCAAACCCAUUUUGUCACUCCCAUUACAUCACUCCUGUUUUGUAGGAUCCUUCAAAUGUUGCUAAGAAAUGCACCCUUCAAUUCUGAGAAUUCAUAGGACUCAGCCGGGGGAAUUCUUCCAGACCUCAAUUCUUUGUGAGCAGCACAAGUUUUGGAAAAUGGCAGAAACAUGUGCAAGUGGGCAAGAUGCUGUGGCAGCUAAUGACCAAGCAAUAAGGGUAUGGAGAGAGUGAUGGAGGAGCCAACAGGGAGGACGAGAAAGAGGAUUUCACUGCUGGCGGAUAACCAUGGGGACUAUUACACACUGACUACUUCACCCCAGAGGCCUUAAUUGAACACAGUGUCCGGGAUGUGACCCAAAACCCUGCUCUUCUGCUGCUUUCCAGCUCCAUCUCAGCGCUAGCGGUGAAAGCCAGAGAGCUCCGCAAUGUGGCACAGAACAUCACAAAAAGCACAAACACACCCUUUUACUCUUUCUGCUCCAUUCCAAGUCCAGCCAGGGAGUCAUUACGGAGCAAAUGUUGCUCUUAUAGCCACUGAUUUCACUUUUGUGGCCUGAGGCGUGCAUCAGGGAAGGCUUUUAGGCUUUUGCUAGAUGAAAAUGCACUGAAGCUCCAGAUGCAGUCUGGAUUUGUUCAGCCUGUGAUAUGAAGUACAGAGCUUUACACGGACGUUGUUUGUAUGAGAGUGUAUGUGGGGGUGUAUGUGUGUACUAGGGAUGUGCCUGUGUACUCAAGUUCUCAGGGGUUCCAGUGGUCUAAUGCUGAAAUCACUGUUUGCGUAAUUGUUACGUUUAAUCACGGGAUGUCAGAAAAAUGUACAGGUGAACAAUUCAGUGAACUUUAAUUUUAUGUUUCACUUGUAUUUGUGAGCAAAUAUGUACAUCAUAUUACACUUUGCUGCUGUGAAACAUUCGAUUUGUAAAAAAAAUGCUUUUUGCUAUGGAUUCAUUCUGAGGGCAAAGAGUCCUAAUCAGCUUCAAGCAUGAUAUCAAAUAGCUCAUUUUAGCUCAUGAAAUAUAUAUACAUACAUACAUAUAUAUGCUUGAAUAUAACAUUUAGUCAGAAUGCAUAUUCCUAGUGUAUGUGAAGAAGCAUAAGUUGUGUAUAUGGGAUGUAUAGGUAUGUAUAUGUCAGAGAUGUUCAAAGAUCAAUUCAUGCGAAUCUAGGGUGAGAAGUUUCAUUAAGUUUUAAGCUUAUGAAGUGGUCUAUAUCUUGCUAAAGUUUCAGCCAGAUUAGUUGCCAAUUUCUGGUAUAUUUGCUGUUGUUUUAUUCUUGCUAUUCAAAUUACACACAGGCCAAAAGUUUCAAGUUGUUUUGCCUUGUUUUAAACAUUUUUUUUGCAUAAACUUCCAUCACAAUGAAGGUUUUUAAUAAUGAAAGACUUACUUGUUAUAUGAAACUGUAUCAAACCUGAUGCCGCUGCGAGCUGCAGGAGAACAGCACUGCAAUCAGGACUGCAUGAUCAUAGCAAUACAUACAGGCAAAGGUGCACAAGCAAGAUUGG
Molecule: long non-coding RNA, 1536 nt
Organism: Pygocentrus nattereri (red-bellied piranha)
Lineage: Eukaryota; Metazoa; Chordata; Actinopteri; Characiformes; Serrasalmidae
Exons: 3
Source: RefSeq, a predicted model, not a curated record